This 74-nucleotide transfer RNA is filed under the name Actinosynnema sp. ALI-1.44. RNAcentral's name for it is "tRNA-Cys". The stretch from base 7 to 66 matches the Rfam family "tRNA", at positions 8 to 63 of the family's 71-position model. Rfam says of the family: Transfer RNA (tRNA) molecules are approximately 80 nucleotides in length. The record is from RNAcentral. Lineage: Bacteria; Bacillati; Actinomycetota; Actinomycetes; Pseudonocardiales; Pseudonocardiaceae.
GCCAGGUAGCGCAGAGGUCGUCGCGCGCUGCCUGCAAAGCAGUGAGGACGCCGGUUCGAUUCCGGCAGGCUCUA